Molecule: ribosomal RNA, 279 nt
Filed under: uncultured Staphylococcus sp.
Lineage: Bacteria; Bacillati; Bacillota; Bacilli; Caryophanales; Staphylococcaceae
Description: partial 16S ribosomal RNA
Rfam family: Bacterial small subunit ribosomal RNA
Source: RNAcentral
CCUUUGACGUUAGCGGCGGACGGGUGAGUAACACGUGGGUAACCUACCUAUAAGACUGGGAUAACUUCGGGAAACCGGAGCUAAUACCGGAUAAUAUUUCUAACCGCAUGGUUCGAUAGUGAAAGGUGGUUUUGCUAUCACUUAUAGAUGGACCCGCGCCGUAUUAGCUAGUUGGUAAGGUAACGGCUUACCAAGGCGACGAUACGUAGCCGACCUGAGAGGGUGAUCGGCCACACUGGAACUGAGACACGGUCCAGACUCCUACGGGAGGCAGCAGGA